This 524-nucleotide ribosomal RNA is filed under the name uncultured bacterium. RNAcentral describes it as "partial 16S ribosomal RNA". It matches the Rfam family "Bacterial small subunit ribosomal RNA", at positions 28 to 523 of the family's 1533-position model. The record is from RNAcentral.
GACGAACGCUGGCGGCGUGCCUAAUACAUGCAAGUCGAACGAAGCUGUUUUAACUGGUGCUUGCACCGACUUAAACAACUGAGUGGCGAACGGGUGAGUAACACGUGGGUAACCUGCCCCAAAGCGGGGGAUAACAUUUGGAAACAGAUGCUAAUACCGCAUAACCACAGAAACCACAUGGUUUCUGUGUCAAAGAUGGUUUCGGCUAUCACUUUGGGAUGGACCCGCGGCGUAGUAGCUAGUUGGUAAGGUAAUGGCUUACCAAGGCAAUGAUACGGAGCCGAACUGAGAGGUUGAUCGGCCACAUUGGAACUGAGACACGGCCCAAACUCCUACAGGAGGCAGCAGUAGGGAAUCUUCCACAAUGGACGAAAGUCUGAUGGAGCAACGCCGCGUGAGUGAAGAAGGUUUUCGGAUCGUAAAACUCUGUUGUCAGAGAAGAACGUGUGCGAGAGUAACUGCUCGUGCAGUGACGGUAUCUGGCCAGAAAGCCACGGCUAACUACGUGCCAGCCGCCGCCGUAA